Paramisgurnus dabryanus is the source of this 1535-nucleotide non-coding RNA. The record is from RefSeq and is a predicted model, not a curated record. NCBI's taxonomy places the organism in Eukaryota, Metazoa, Chordata, Actinopteri, Cypriniformes, Cobitidae.
UAGAGGCCCACAGGUGAAGGAAGAUUUUUGGCCUGCACUUCCACAGCUGGUAAACAUGGAUUGUGGUGGGCUAGUGACAGAAUGAAGAAGAUCAGUUUAAAAUGUGCUUUACAACCAGAGGUUGCAUUAUUUUGACAGACAAGGGCUGUAAGAAAAUUGUCAAAAUCAAUAAUAAUAUGAGCCAACAGCCAAACAAUAACAACUAAACUCAAUCAACUAUCUUAAUCUGCCUGAACUCAAAUCUUGUGGUCUAUAAAGUGGGAGUUUAUCUGUGUGUAAUUCAACCAUCAUGUUAGACUGAAGGAAUUGCAGUUAUCAUUAGAUUUCCCGACAGCACUGGACAAAUGACUUCUCACACUCAGUGUGACUUGAGACAAAGGAUAAACAAAGACAUUGAGUAUGUUUACAUGCACAUAAUAAGAGGACAAUUAUCUUAUUAUGAUAUUAUAAAAAUCAGCUUAUAACAUUAACAUGUUUCAAGCGUUUUAAUUUACUUUUAUUUGUGAAGUUUAUCUAUCACAGGUGGAGACAUACGCACAUACGAAACGGCAAAAAAGACGUUAAAAUCUGGUUUAAGAGCAAAAAAACUACCUGUGCCAAUCAGUUUUUGCCAUUUAUGGGCUUUACCCUAUAAAAGAAAACCAUUUUAUGCAUUUAAAUGACCUUACACGUUAUCAGUUUAUUAAGCGUUUAGACUAUGUAGACACACUCACUGUGCACUAAAAUUAAAAAAAUUGGUUAACACGACCACUCGUGGUGGCUUCACUCAGAGGUUGGAGAAGACAACCGGUGGACUAAACAUCAAGCCUCUGCACGAUUCAGGUAAGUGGAAUAAAAUACAUUGUAAAUAAACAUUAUUAAAACAGAUUGUGAAGUCAUUCAUUCAAAACUUGCUAUGACCUAAGCCUAAAUGACUUAAUUUCUUUUUAGAAUUAAGACAACCUUAGCAGGAGAGCCCCAGCAGUAACUUUCUCUCAAGCAGAUGAGCAAUAAGUUGCUAACACCACCCUAACAAUCAAGUAGCCUGUUAACAGUAGACCAAAGGUAUGAUGAUCAAUUAUAAAUGCAAUAUGGUUGAAAGGUCAGUAAACAAACAACAAAAAGGUAAUUUCUUAAUAGAAUGUCUAUACAUUUUUUGCUUUUGUUACAUAUUUCAUACAUCAAAAUCAUUAAACGUUAAUAAUUAUGUAUUCCAACUUGUUGCAGCUUGACAAAAAUGUAGCUUGAAGGAGAAGGGACAGCUGAGUAACAAAGUCCUGGUAUGCAGACGACGAUACUAUUACACUGACAAGAGUGUAAUGAUGAUGGAGACACAAGCCAGAGAAAGGGGGGACCAAACACCAGGCCAGAAUUCUGCAUGAGUCAGAUCCAGUGGGUGCAGAUCAUCAUACAGAUGGUUCAAGUGUGGAUCCACCUAAUAUUCAAGAUUUUCUGUCCUGGGACACUCGGCUAACCAUCAAGAAAGAACACACUCCAGUGGGCAUCCUUUAUCCAUCCAGACCCUCAUACAGAUGGUUGGAGUUUUGAUUCACCUA